UGAAAGAUCCUAAAGGUUUGGUGGUCCCAAAGGUAAAGGGAUCCCAAAGGUUUGAAGAAUCCUAAAGAUUUGGAGGAUCCCAAAGGUAAAGGGAAUCCCAAAGUUUGGUGGUCCGAAAGGCUGAAUGGAUUCCAAAGGUUUGGUGGUCCCGAAGAUAAAGGGAUCCCAAAGGUUUGG
Molecule: long non-coding RNA, 177 nt
Organism: Pezoporus occidentalis (night parrot)
Lineage: Eukaryota; Metazoa; Chordata; Aves; Psittaciformes; Psittacidae
Exons: 3
Source: RefSeq, a predicted model, not a curated record